CCUACGGGAGGCAGCAGUGAGGAAUAUUGGUCAAUGGGCGCUAGCCUGAACCAGCCAAGUAGCGUGAAGGAUGACUGCCCUAUGGGUUGUAAACUUCUUUUAUAUGGGAAUAAAGUGAAGUAUGUAUACUGCUUUGCAUGUACCUUAUGAAUAAGGAUCGGCUAACUCCGUGCCAGCAGCCGCGGUAAUACGGAGGAUCCGAGCGUUAUCCGGAUUUAUUGGGUUUAAAGGGAGCGUAGGCGGGUUGUUAAGUCAGUUGUGAAAGUUUGCGGCUCAACCGUAAAAUUGCAGUUGAUACUGGCAGCCUUGAGUACAGUUGAGGUAGGCGGAAUUCGUGGUGUAGCGGUGAAAUGCUUAGAUAUCACGAAGAACUCCGAUUGCGAAGGCAGCCUGCUGGACUGUAACUGACGCUGAUGCUCGAAAGUGUGGGUAUCAAACAGGAUUAGAUACCCGAGUAGUC
RNAcentral lists this ribosomal RNA (460 nucleotides) under uncultured bacterium. RNAcentral describes it as "partial 16S ribosomal RNA". It matches the Rfam family "Bacterial small subunit ribosomal RNA", at positions 338 to 795 of the family's 1533-position model. The record is from RNAcentral.